This 87-nucleotide transfer RNA is filed under the name Sarcina sp. DSM 11001. It matches the Rfam family "tRNA". Rfam says of the family: Transfer RNA (tRNA) molecules are approximately 80 nucleotides in length. Their secondary structure includes four short double-helical elements and three loops (D, anti-codon, and T loops). Further hydrogen bonds mediate the characteristic L-shaped molecular structure. tRNAs have two regions of fundamental functional importance: the anti-codon, which is responsible for specific mRNA codon recognition, and the 3' end, to which the tRNAs corresponding amino acid is attached (by aminoacyl-tRNA synthetases). tRNAs cope with the degeneracy of the genetic code in two manners: having more than one tRNA (with a specific anti-codon) for a particular amino acid; and 'wobble' base-pairing, i.e. permitting non-standard base-pairing at the 3rd anti-codon position. The record is from Rfam by way of RNAcentral. Lineage: Bacteria; Bacillati; Bacillota; Clostridia; Eubacteriales; Clostridiaceae.
GUCCCUGUAGCAGAAUUGGUAUAUGCAGCGGGCUAAGGCCCCGCGCCGGACUAAGAUCCAUUGUGUGUUCGAGUCUCACCAGGGACA